RNAcentral lists this RNase P RNA (354 nucleotides) under marine eukaryotic metagenome. RNAcentral's name for it is "Bacterial RNase P class A". It matches the Rfam family "Bacterial RNase P class A". Rfam says of the family: Ribonuclease P (RNase P) is a ubiquitous endoribonuclease, found in archaea, bacteria and eukarya as well as chloroplasts and mitochondria. The record is from RNAcentral.
AGUGGGCCAGACGAUCGCCGGUAGUUGCUUUAGGGCGCUACGGGAGGAAAGUCCGGGCUUCAACGGGCAAGGUGCCAGUUAACGACUGGGCGGCGUGAGCCGACGGCAAGUGCAGCAGAGAGUAGACCGCCGAUGGCUGGCAACAGCACAGGUAAGGCUGAAAGGGUGCGGUAAGAGCGCACCGUGCGACUGGUAACAGUUCGUAGCAAGGUAAACCCCACCUGAAGCAAGACCAAAUAGGCUCCCUAUAGGCGUGGCCCGCGCUGGGAGCGGGUAGGUUGCUUGAGCGGCGCGGUGACGCGUCGCCUAGAUGAAUGAUCGUCCUCGACAGGACCCGGCUUAUCGGCCCGCUCA